RNAcentral lists this ribosomal RNA (427 nucleotides) under uncultured bacterium. Its description in RNAcentral is "partial 16S ribosomal RNA". It matches the Rfam family "Bacterial small subunit ribosomal RNA", at positions 355 to 774 of the family's 1533-position model. The record is from RNAcentral.
UGGGGAAUAUUGGACAAUGGGCGAAAGCCUGAUCCAGCCAUGCCGCGUGUGUGAAGAAGGUCUUCGGAUUGUAAAGCACUUUAAGUUGGGAGGAAGGGCAUUAACCUAAUACGUUAGUGUUUUGACGUUACCGACAGAAUAAGCACCGGCUAACUCUGUGCCAGCAGCCGCGGUAAUACAGAGGGGGCAAGCGUUAAUCGGAAUUACUGGGCGUAAAGCGCGCGUAGGUGGUUUGUUAAGUUGGAUGUGAAAUCCCCGGGCUCAACCUGGGAACUGCAUUCAAAACUGACUGACUAGAGUAUGGUAGAGGGUGGUGGAAUUUCCUGUGUAGCGGUGAAACGCGUAGAUAUAGGAAGGAACACCAGUGGCGAAGGCGACCACCUGGACUAAUACUGACACUGAGGUGCGAAAGCGUGGGGAGCAAACA